AUGAACGCUAGCGGGAGGCCUAACACCUGCAAGCCGAGCGGUAGAGUCUCUUCGGAGACUUGAGAGCGGCGCACGGGUGCGGAACACGUGUGCAACCUGCCUUUAUCUGGGGGAUAGCCUUUCGAAAGGAAGAUUAAUACCCCAUAAUAUACUGGAUGGCAUCAUCUGGUAUUGAAAACUCCGGUGGAUAGAGAUGGGCACGCGCAAGAUUAGAUAGUUGGUGAGGUAACGGCUCACCAAGUCAGCGAUCUUUAGGGGGCCUGAGAGGGUGAUCCCCCACACUGGUACUGAGACACGGACCAGACUCCUACGGGAGGCAGCAGUGAGGAAUAUUGGACAAUGGGUGAGAGCCUGAUCCAGCCAUCCCGCGUGAAGGACGACGGCCCUAUGGGUUGUAAACUUCUUUUGGAUAGGGAUAAACCUAGAUACGUGUAUCUAGCUGAAGGUACUAUACGAAUAAGCACCGGCUAACUCCGUG
Molecule: ribosomal RNA, 478 nt
Filed under: uncultured bacterium
Lineage: Bacteria
Description: partial 16S ribosomal RNA
Rfam family: Bacterial small subunit ribosomal RNA
Source: RNAcentral